RNAcentral lists this ribosomal RNA (467 nucleotides) under uncultured bacterium. RNAcentral describes it as "partial 16S ribosomal RNA". The stretch from base 13 to 373 matches the Rfam family "Bacterial small subunit ribosomal RNA", at positions 40 to 399 of the family's 1533-position model. The record is from RNAcentral.
GACGAACGCUGGCGGCGUGCUUAACACAUGCAAGUCGAACGGAAAGGCCCUGCUUUUGUGGGGUGCUCGAGUGGCGAACGGGUGAGUAACACGUGAGUAACCUGCCCUUGACUUUGGGAUAACUUCAGGAAACUGGGGCUAAUACCGGAUAGGAGCUCCUGCUGCAUGGUGGGGGUUGGAAAGUUUCGGCGGUUGGGGAUGGACUCGCGGCUUAUCAGCUUGUUGGUGGGGUAGUGGCUUACCAAGGCUUUGACGGGUAGCCGGCCUGAGAGGGUGACCGGCACAAUGGGGCUGGGGAAAGGGCCCGAAUCCCAAGGGGGGCAACAGGGGGGAAAAUUGCCCAAAGGGGCGGAGCCGGGAGCGGGAAACGCCGGUGGGGGAAGGCGGGCUUUGGGGGUGUAAACCGUUUUCGCGUGGGAAGAGGGGUGGGUAGGGGAAAGGGUAAAAAAAGCACGGGUAAAUUAGGG